GGUCCCUCCCAACUCAGCAUGUUCUGUGAUUCUCUUGUUUCUAUGGUCCUAUGAUUCCAAGAUUCUGUGAUUCUAUGACAGGAGGGGGGACCUGUCUUGGUUGGAGCAACUUUUAUUAAGCAGCAGGAAGGGUCUGCUAGGAAACCCCCAGGAUAAGGAAUAUUCCAGGUGUAGAUCCUCCAGCCAAAAACCAAGGAGCAUCGUGGGGAUGAAGAGAAAAGCUGUAACAGCAUUUCCAUACAGAACAGGCCUUUUUCCAGAAAUAAUCCCUGCAGGAGAGAAACUGUCUUAGAAUAUCUGGAAAUGACAAUCCUGG
Long non-coding RNA from Ficedula albicollis (Collared flycatcher), 316 nucleotides. RefSeq lists it as uncharacterized. The record is from RefSeq and is a predicted model, not a curated record. Lineage: Eukaryota; Metazoa; Chordata; Aves; Passeriformes; Muscicapidae. The transcript has 2 exons.